GGAGGGGGAAAAUCAGAAUCAGAAUCAAGUUUAUUGCCAGGUACAUUUACACAUACAAGGAAUCUGCUUUGGUAUCUGGUGGUGCGAACAUAAACAAUCUAAGAAAAUAAGUUGCAAUAAUAGGUAAAAAAAGAAAUGUAUAAGGAUAAUACAAAAUACAUAUUUUAAGAAACAAUUUAGCAUUAAAAAAAGAAUACUAAAGGCAAGUAUUUAUACCGAAUUUACAUUUCAAUAUACAAAGAACCUUAAAAGCUGAACAACUAAAACACUUAAGACAAUGAAAAUAUGACAAGAUGUUGUUCACAUGAUGUGCACUAAUGUAAUGCACAACGUUUGUGGGGUGAAGAAACUGUCUCCACCGUCUUGAGAGCAUUAAGCUCCAAGCGGUUGUCCCUGCACCAGGUCACAGAUCGUCCCUAUCCCACCUGUAGGCAGACCCCCCCCCACCCCACCAGAGAUGAGGGUGGUGUCGUCUGCGAACUUCAGGAGCUUGACAGACUGGUGACUGGAGGUGCAGCUGUUGGUGUACAGGCAGAAGAGCAGAGGGGAAAGAACGCAGCCUUGAGGGGAACCGGCGCUGAUGGUCCGGGGGUCAGAGACGUGUUUCCCCAGCCUCACGUGCUGCUUCCUGUCAGACAGGAAGUCUGUGAUCCACCUGCAGGUGGACUCGGGCACAUGCAGCUGGGAGAGCUUGUCCUACAGCAGAGCUGGGACGAUCGUAUUAAGCUGAAGUCCACAAACAGGAUCCUGGCUUAGGUUCUUGCUGUGUCCAGGUGCUGGAGGAGGAAGUGAAGGGCCAUGUUGACAGCAUAAUCUACAGACCUGUUGGCUCUGUAGGCAAACUGCAGGGGGGGUCCAGGAGGGGGUCUCUGAUGGAUUUUAUGUGGGAAAGGACAAGGCGCUCAAAGGACUUCAUAACCACAGAGGUCAGGGCGACGGGUCUGUAGUCAUUGAAUCCUGUGGUCCUUGUUUUCUUCGGGACCAGAAUGAUGGUGGAAAAUGUGUUUGUUUUGACAGCUUCCUUUGGGGAUUGCAUACAUUUUUUAAUGUGUAGUUGUUGGUGUAUUUACUGUCAAUUGUUCAACAUUGUUUAUUUUUUGGUGAAAAUCGUCUUGUCGUUUACUCUGUCCUUUCACAGUUGGUUCAAUCUGCACUAACCAAGAAACCAGGUGGUGAUCGUAUUAUCAAAGGAUACAACCGGACGAAAGGUCUGACUGACUCCACACGGCGACAGAUGGUUAACAUCAUGCUGAGAUGACUGAAACUCAUGGGAUGGGACAGUGAUCUGUCAUCCAUUAUACUUCUCCUCCACCUGAUUUCUCCUUCAGCCAGAAAAAACCAGACAAGGUGUCUGCAUCCCAAGCUGAGAAGCAUCGUGUGAUGUUCAAGAAGAUUGGAACAAGCAUCCAGGAACAUGUCGAUGCCAUCAACAGCACCACCCAACCCUAUCUUCUUGCCGUUGGAAUGAAGAGAAGUAAUAUCCAUCAGUUCUUCGUCGUUCUGGAUAGUAAGGUCAUAGUCGACCAGUUCUCUUGGGGCUUUUGAUGAACUCUUCAAGGCACAUUUUGUAUUUGGGACCAUGUACAAUCACAUGCUACACAACAUAUACUGUACACCUUCAUUCAGACAACUAUGUACAACAUAGACAUUGGCAAAUGUUGUCAUAGUUUUGGUACUUUUUCAAGCUUCUGGAAACAUUUAAACACAACAGAUGCUGAGAAAAUUGAGCAUGAUGUUCAAACUGAUGUUUUUGUAGACGGUGAUGGUGUUGAAGAUAAUGUACAGUCACAAGAUUUAGAAGAAGCCGCUAGUAGCUCUCAAGCCCUGCCAGUAACUAACACGAGUACUCGUGAUAUGUGCUAUUGCACAGCUUCAGGUUGCUGGUGUAGGCCAAUCUACUUAGAAUAGUUUUGUGUCCUCCAUGGAAGAACUAGUACUGGAGAUACAGAGUCAAGCUAAAGAUGCAGCUUUGAAAUGUUUAUCUUCUCAGGAUACAAGUUCGAAAGCUAAGAUCGAACAAAGUUUUGAAAAACUUGAAAACCCUUUUUCUUCUUUAACUUCUGAAUCUAAAAGAAUUUUUUUUUUAACAGAAAUGGAGAACUGUUGAACCUGUCGAAAAAGUACUUGUCAGAUUAGAAAACAGAAGGAACAGAUGUACUGGAAUUUACGAUCAGGUAGUUAUAACUGACACAUUUUCCUAUGUUCCAAUUCUUGAAACAUUGCAGUCUAUUCUCAAAAAUCCGAACCUCAGUGAUAUGUUUACAAAAAGCCAAACUCCCAAGGAUGGUGUAUAUUUCGCAACCCAGUCUCAUGGCAUUUCAUGUUCAC
Molecule: long non-coding RNA, 2328 nt
Organism: Gymnodraco acuticeps
Lineage: Eukaryota; Metazoa; Chordata; Actinopteri; Perciformes; Bathydraconidae
Exons: 3
Source: RefSeq, a predicted model, not a curated record